Molecule: ribosomal RNA, 479 nt
Filed under: Chattonella subsalsa
Lineage: Eukaryota; Raphidophyceae; Chattonellales; Chattonellaceae
Description: partial Bacterial small subunit ribosomal RNA
Rfam family: Bacterial small subunit ribosomal RNA
Source: RNAcentral
UGAGACACGGCCCAGACUCCUACGGGAGGCAGCAGUGGGGAAUAUUGCACAAUGGGCGGAAGCCUGAUGCAGCAACGCCGCGUGCGGGAUGACGGCCUUCGGGUUGUAAACCGCUUUCAGUUCCGACGAAGCGAAAGUGACGGUAGGAACAGAAGAAGGACCGGCCAACUACGUGCCAGCAGCCGCGGUGAUACGUAGGGUCCGAGCGUUGUCCGGAAUUAUUGGGCGUAAAGGGCUUGUAGGCGGUCUGUCGCGUCGGAAGUGAAAACUCAGGGCUUAACUCUGAGCGUGCUUUUGAUACGGGCAGACUAGAGGGAUGCAGGGGAGAACGGAAUUCCUGGUGGAGCGGUGGAAUGCGCAGAUAUCAGGAGGAACACCGGUGGCGAAGGCGGUUCUCUGGGCAUUACCUGACGCUGAGAAGCGAAAGCGUGGGGAGCAAACAGGCUUAGAUACCCUGGUAGUCCACGCCGUAAACGAUG